RNAcentral lists this ribosomal RNA (506 nucleotides) under uncultured bacterium. Its description in RNAcentral is "partial 16S ribosomal RNA". It matches the Rfam family "Bacterial small subunit ribosomal RNA", at positions 30 to 523 of the family's 1533-position model. The record is from RNAcentral.
AUUGAACGCUGGCGGCAGGCCUAACACAUGCAAGUCGAGCGGCAGCGGAAAGUAGCUUGCUACUUUGCCGGCGAGCGGCGGACGGGUGAGUAAUGUCUGGGAAACUGCCUGAUGGAGGGGGAUAACUACUGGAAACGGUAGCUAAUACCGCAUAACGUCGCAAGACCAAAGAGGGGGACCUUCGGGCCUCUUGCCAUCAGAUGUGCCCAGAUGGGAUUAGCUAGUAGGUGGGGUAAUGGCUCACCUAGGCGACGAUCCCUAGCUGGUCUGAGAGCAUGAGCGGCCACACUGGAACUGAGACACGGUCCAGACGCCUACGGGAGGCAGCAGUGGGGAAUAUUGCACAAUGGGCGAAAGCCUGAUGCAGCCAUGCCGCGUGUAUGAAGAAGGCCUUCGGGUUGUAAAGUACUUUCAGCGGGGAGGAAGGUGUUGAGGUUAAUAACCUCAGCAAUUGACGUUACCCGCAGAAGAAGCACCGGCUAACUCCGUGCCAGCAGCCGCCGUAA